AGAUCAUCAAAGUAAGGAAGACAAUUUCUUAAUGACAUAUCAAUGAAUCAGAUGAGGUAGAUCACAGAACUGCUCUUCUCCAGCUCCCUGAUAGUCUUUUAGGGCUUUUAUUGGGUAUAUGCCACACUUCAAAAUAAUGCUGCUCUGACAAUGUGACAACUCAUUUUCUUUGUUGCUAAAUGCUGUAAGCUAACACAGAUAGCCCCCUAAAUAGAAGAAUAAUGGAACCUAAACCCUGUGUGAGAAAUAUUUAUGUGAAGGAAUUUUGUCAUGGAAGCCAGAGGUUGUUUAUCUGAAGAAUAAUUAUGCAAGUAAUUUCUCACGAUUGGCUAUUAGAAGAAUUGAUGUCUGUCUUUUCCAACUUCAUGAUAAAUUUCCAUUGAGUUCAUUUUAUACUUAACCCUUUAAGUAUAAAGUAUAUACUUCAAGUAUAAAGUGUAAGGUUGCUUCAUUUCAUGGGCCCACCCAGGAUUUAAAGGUGUAUUCCCUGAAAGAAUUGGUUCCUUCCGGUGGGUUCCUGGCUGACUUCAAGAAUGAAGCUGCAGACACUUAUGGACUGGGAGGAGGCCCACGAGAAAAACAGGAAGAACAAGAGAAAGGCUGAGGCUCUAGUGGCUGCUUUGCAGACUUGCAGAGUCCAGGAUCCCCCAGGAACUUCCACUGAUUGCUACCUGUUACCAGUGUUAAAGCCAGGGCACUUUAAGAAGAAUUGCCCAAGCCACAAGAAAAA
RNAcentral lists this long non-coding RNA (730 nucleotides) under Homo sapiens (human). Its description in RNAcentral is "testis expressed transcript, Y-linked 10". The record is from RNAcentral. Lineage: Eukaryota; Metazoa; Chordata; Mammalia; Primates; Hominidae.